This 468-nucleotide ribosomal RNA is filed under the name uncultured bacterium. Its description in RNAcentral is "partial 16S ribosomal RNA". It matches the Rfam family "Bacterial small subunit ribosomal RNA", at positions 28 to 507 of the family's 1533-position model. The record is from RNAcentral.
GACGAACGCUGGCGGCGUGCUUAACACAUGCAAGUCGAACGGAAAGGCCCUGCUUUUGUGGGGUGCUCGAGUGGCGAACGGGUGAGUAACACGUGAGUAACCUGCCCUUGACUUUGGGAUAACUUCAGGAAACUGGGGCUAAUACCGGAUAGGAGCUCCUGCUGCAUGGUGGGGGUUGGAAAGAUUCGGCGGUUGGGGAUGGACUCGCGGCUUAUCAGCUUGUUGGUGGGGUAGUGGCUUACCAAGGCUUUGACGGGUAGCCGGCCUGAGAGGGUGACCGGCGACAUUGGGACUGAGAUACGGCCCAGACUCCUACGGGAGGCAGCAGUGGGGAAUAUUGCACAAUGGGCGGAAGCCUGAUGCAGCAACGCCGCGUGCGGGAUGACGGCCUUCGGGUUGUAAACCGCUUUCGCCUGUGACGAAGCGUGAGUGACGGUAAUGGGUAAAGAAGCACCGGCUAACUACGUG